RNAcentral lists this non-coding RNA (122 nucleotides) under Chattonella subsalsa. Lineage: Eukaryota; Raphidophyceae; Chattonellales; Chattonellaceae. The record is from RNAcentral.
ACUCGUCAGAUGAUUCAUUUGAUAGCAAUCAGAAAGAUGUUAUUGAUAGGGCAUUGAAAGAUGGUAAGGCAGUUACUUUACCAACAGGUCAGAAGGUUGUAAUCCUUCCCGAUGCCGUGAAU